ACUCUAGGAAGAUGAUACCUUUUCAGAUUGUCAGGUUGGGCUGGGGAUGGGCAACCCGGCUUCUGCUGAAGUGCUGUUGGGAGGGCUAAUUAGGGAUCCGAGCUCACUGUUAACACACGGGCCUCACUGGACAAAGGGCUGACGUGAAUUGAAGUCAGUAUAUAGUCUGAGUUCUCUUUCCAUCCUGAGCACCAUCUCCCUAUUGCCUUAGAGGCAGGCGGGAGCGCUUCUUGCUACUAAACAGAAAAGGAGGAGACUACUGUUGGCCGCGGAUCUGAAAAGGUUUGAAUGAUUACAGGCUAUCUGAAGGCGAAGCAGAAGAUCAUAACGCGUCCAAGACUGCGUUGACUAUACCCCUUUCCGGCCCCUACGCCGAUUUAUUUUAGGGGGAAAAAAUGGUGGGCUUGGGGGAGGGAUCUGGGAUGGGAAUGGCGGUCAGGUUUGUGUACCGGGCCCCUAUUGUAUUGAAAGCAAGCUAGCUUCUCGCUCAGGGAAAGGGGAGGAGAAAAAUGUCCUGGCUCUCCGCAAGUCAAGUCGGUGUGAGGGGAGGAAUCACCUGCAAACCUCUGGAAUGGAAAACGGACACCGCAGCGGGUCUUGUACUGCAGUUCCCACAGCCACGCCCCCUGCCCAUUUUAAUUCAGAAAAUGGUGGGCAGUGGGGAAUGCUGGGGAGAUGAGCAGAAACCCUGUGUGGAUGUUAGCUUCCUAUUACAGAGGAUGUGGGAGUUUUGAGCGAAAGAUGGAAAAAGAGGGUUGCUGUGAGCUGACUGCAUCCUGAAGAUUACAGCUACUGUCAGAUGGACCUUUCCACACAGCUGUAUACCAUUCCAGUAACCCCUCCCUUACCUCCCACUCCCUCUGCUCCUCCCCACUUCCUUUCCUCUCGUCUCCUUUGCAGAGGGGUAGUAACACUAUGUUAUGCCCUGAAUUGUGCACCCACCCCUCCCCACACCCACCAAAUUCAUGUUGAAGUCCUAAUCCCCAAUACCUCAGCAUGUGACUGUAGUUGGAAAUAGGGUCUUUAAAGAGAUAGCUAAAUUAAAUGAGGUCAUUGGGGUGGGUCCUAAUCCAGUGACUAGUGUCCUUAGAAGAGAUUAGGACACAGAUACAGAGAAAAAGGCCAUGUGAUGACAGGGAGGACAGCUGUGUAGAAGCCAAAGAGAGAGGCCUCAAAAAAAAUCCUCUGGCAACACCUUGAUCUGACUUCCAACAUCCAGAACUGUGAGAAAAUAAAUUUAUUGUUUAAGCCA
Molecule: non-coding RNA, 1252 nt
Organism: Macaca mulatta (Rhesus monkey)
Lineage: Eukaryota; Metazoa; Chordata; Mammalia; Primates; Cercopithecidae
Source: RefSeq, a predicted model, not a curated record